GCUUCGAGGUAGAGACACAUCGCCCGUACCAAAACCGACACAGGUAGGCGGGGAGAGAAUCCUAAGGUGCGCGGGAAAACCCUCGUUAAGGAACUCGGCAAAAUGCCUCCGUAACUUCGGGAAAAGGAGGACUCAUGUAGUGUGAAGGGCAGUAACGCGUGGAGCAUGAAUGAGUGGCACAAGAGAGGCGCAAGCGACUGUUUACCACAAACACAGGUGCCUGCUAAAGCGAAAGCUGAUGUAUAGGUGCUGACACCUGCCCGGUGCUGGAAGGUUAAGAGGAGGGGUUAGACUUCGGGUCGAAGCUCUGAAUUGAAGCCCCAGUAAACGGCGGCCGUAACAAUAACGGUCCUAAGGUAGCGAAAUUCCUUGUCGGGUAAGUUCCGACCCGCACGAAAGGUGUAACGACUUGCGCACUGUCUCAACGAGGGACCCGGUGAAAUUGAAGUACCUGUGAAGAUGCAGGUUACCCGCGACUGGACAGAAAGACCCCAUGGAGCUUUACUGCAACCUAAGAUUGAACUUAGUUAAUGAAUGUACAGGAUAGGUGGGAGACGUAGAACCUAGGACGCUAGUUUUAGGGGAGUCGCUGUUGGGAUACCACCCUUUCAUUAAUUGAUUUCUAACGGGCCGAGUAACGACCGGCCGGACAGUCUUAGGCGGGCAGUUUGACUGGGGCGGUCGCCUCCUAAAGAGUAACGGAGGCGCCCAAAGGUUCCCUCAGAGCGGACGGAAAUCGCUCGAAGAGUGUAAAGGCAGAAGGGAGCUUGACUGCGAGACGGACAGGUCGAGCAGGGACGAAAGUCGGGCUUAGUGAUCCGGUGGUGCCGAGUGGAAGGGCCAUCGCUCAACGGAUAAAAGCUACCCUGGGG
RNAcentral lists this ribosomal RNA (872 nucleotides) under Glaesserella parasuis. RNAcentral's name for it is "partial 23S ribosomal RNA". It matches the Rfam family "Bacterial large subunit ribosomal RNA", at positions 1617 to 2473 of the family's 2925-position model. Lineage: Bacteria; Pseudomonadati; Pseudomonadota; Gammaproteobacteria; Pasteurellales; Pasteurellaceae. The record is from RNAcentral.